GACAGAGGGUGCAAACGUUGUUCGGAAUUACUGGGCGUAAAGCGCGUGUAGGCGGCCCUGCAAGUCGGAUGUGAAAUCCCACGGCUCAACCGGGGAAGUGCAUUCGAAACUGCAGGGCUAGAGUCCUGGAGAGGAAGGUGGAAUGCUUGGUGUAGAGGUGAAAUUCGUAGAUAUCAAGCGGAACACCGGUGGCGAAGGCGGCCGUCUGGACAGUGACUGACGCUGAGACGCGAAAGCGUGGGGAGCAAACAGG
RNAcentral lists this ribosomal RNA (253 nucleotides) under uncultured bacterium. RNAcentral's name for it is "partial 16S ribosomal RNA". It matches the Rfam family "Bacterial small subunit ribosomal RNA", at positions 524 to 776 of the family's 1533-position model. The record is from RNAcentral.